This 29-nucleotide ribosomal RNA is filed under the name Pichia ethanolica. RNAcentral's name for it is "[Candida] ethanolica partial 26S ribosomal RNA". Lineage: Eukaryota; Fungi; Ascomycota; Pichiomycetes; Pichiales; Pichiaceae. The record is from RNAcentral. RNAcentral also lists the same sequence under 1 other name.
UCGACCUCAGAUCAGGUAGGAAUACCCGC